GACGGAAGGUGCAAGCGUUGCUCGGAAUCACUGGGCGUAAAGGGUGCGUAGGCGGCCGUGCAAGUCUGGCGUGAAAGCCCCGGGCUCAGCCCGGGAAGUGCGCUCGAAACUGCGCGGCUCGAGUGCCGGAGGGGAGAGUGGAAUUCCUGGUGUAGCGGUGAAAUGCGUAGAUAUCAGGAGGAAUACCGGUGGCGAAAGCGGCUUCCUGGACCAGCACCGACGUUCAGGCACGAAAGCGUGGGGAGCAAACAGG
RNAcentral lists this ribosomal RNA (253 nucleotides) under uncultured bacterium. RNAcentral's name for it is "partial 16S ribosomal RNA". It matches the Rfam family "Bacterial small subunit ribosomal RNA", at positions 524 to 776 of the family's 1533-position model. The record is from RNAcentral.